This is an unclassified non-coding RNA of Pongo abelii (Sumatran orangutan), 148 nucleotides long. It matches the Rfam family "Metazoan signal recognition particle RNA". From Rfam's summary of the family: The signal recognition particle (SRP) is a universally conserved ribonucleoprotein. NCBI's taxonomy places the organism in Eukaryota, Metazoa, Chordata, Mammalia, Primates, Hominidae. The record is from Ensembl.
GCUGGGCAUGGCAGUGGGUGCCUGUAAUCCCAGACACUUGGGAGGCUGAGGCAGGAGAAUUGCUUGAGCCCGGGAAGCAGAGGUUGCAGUGAGCCGAGAUGGUGCCACUGCACUCCAGCCUGGGCGACACAGCGAGAUUCUGUCUCAA